CCGGAGCUAACGCGUUAAGUCGACCGCCUGGGGAGUACGGUCGCAAGAUUAAAACUCAAAGGAAUUGACGGGGACCCGCACAAGCGGUGGAUGAUGUGGAUUAAUUCGAUGCAACGCGAAAAACCUUACCUACCCUUGACAUGUCUGGAAAGCCGAAGAGAUUUGGCCGUGCUCGCAAGAGAACCGGAACACAGGUGCUGCAUGGCUGUCGUCAGCUCGUGUCGUGAGAUGUUGGGUUAAGUCCCGCAACGAGCGCAACCCUUGUCAUUAGUUGCUACGCAAGAGCACUCUAAUGAGACUGCCGGUGACAAACCGGAGGAAGGUGGGGAUGACGUCAAGUCCUCAUGGCCCUUAUGGGUAGGGCUUCACACGUCAUACAAUGGUCGGGACAGAGGGUCGCCAACCCGCGAGGGGGAGCCAAUCUCAGAAACCCGAUCGUAGUCCGGAUCGCAGUCUGCAACUCGACUGCGUGAAGUCGGAAUCGCUAGUAAUCGCGGAUCAGAAUGUCGCGGUGAAUACGUUCCCGGGUCUUGUACACACCGCCCGUCACACCAUGGGAGUGGGUUUCACCAGAA
RNAcentral lists this ribosomal RNA (575 nucleotides) under coliform bacterium Alc1. RNAcentral describes it as "bacterial SSU rRNA". It matches the Rfam family "Bacterial small subunit ribosomal RNA", at positions 846 to 1425 of the family's 1533-position model. The record is from RNAcentral.